AUGGUGUGGUCCGUCCGCGUUCCCCUGAAGAUCCGCAUAUUCAUGUGGCAGCGGAUUCGCGGCCGGGUCCCGUCUGGAGUGGAGGUCUGCAAGCGCAAUGGCCCGGGCACCGGUAUCUGCCCGCUCUGUGGAGUCCCUGAAGACUCGAACCACAUCUUCUUCUCCUGCGUCUCAGCCCAGUUCCUCUGGAGCUGCUUUCGCGAGGUGGUCGGU
Molecule: ribosomal RNA, 213 nt
Filed under: Triticum aestivum (bread wheat)
Lineage: Eukaryota; Viridiplantae; Streptophyta; Magnoliopsida; Poales; Poaceae
Description: partial small subunit ribosomal RNA
Source: RNAcentral